UACCUUUGAUCCCUAGGAUAAGACUCAAAAUUAUUGCUUAUAGAACUGAUCUUGUGGUGAUGAAUUCCCUCAGUUUAUCCUUAUUUGAAAAAAGUAUUUAUUUUUACUUCAUUUUUAAAAGAUAGUUCUGUUGAUGAGUUCAGUCGUCAUGGCUGGCAGGAUCUCAUGCAUUUGCUGCUGGCCUGGGAGUUUACUAUUAAGAACUAUGCUGGAAGUCUAAUGGGAAUUUUCUUGCAUUUGUCUUGACACAGGGAUCUUCAUGUUUUUUAUUCUUUCUCAGAAUCUUGAGCAUGACAUAUGUCAAUGACCAUGACAUGUGACAAUGAUGGCCCAUUUGGAGUAAGAAUGGCAAAGAUCAACAAACAACUAGCAACAAAUGUUGGCAAGGACUUGAAGAAAGCAUAACCUUCAUUCACUGUUGAGCACAGGACCGAGACACAGAAAGCGGAGUGUCCCACAGUAAAUUACAAAUACAUAACUACUGGCAGAAGCAGUCUUUGAAGACAAGCACCCGGAUUUUGCUGUUAACUUUUUUCCUCUAUGCUAUGCCAAUUCUUUGCACAAUCAGACUUUUGGUUGAUUCUGCAUCUUAGUAUGUAAGGCAAAACUGUUGUGAAAUAGUACCUCAGGGUAUCUUGAUGUUCAAUUAUAUAAGUGUGUCCUAACAUUUAUUCCACAAAAUCCCAGUGCUAUGGUUUGGAGGUUUUUGUGUCCUUCAGGGUUCAUUCUUUGUUUCCAAGCAUCAUGGUGUUUGAAUAUGAUGCAGACUUUUAAGAGAAAGAAACUAGUGAGAAGCCCUUGUGCCACUGGGUUAUGGCUUUGGAAGGAACCAAUGUACUUCUCUUGGGUGUCUGUUAGGGCUCAUGAAAAG
Molecule: long non-coding RNA, 871 nt
Filed under: Cricetulus griseus (Chinese hamster)
Lineage: Eukaryota; Metazoa; Chordata; Mammalia; Rodentia; Cricetidae
Description: lncRNA (ENSCGRG00015041356.1)
Source: RNAcentral